Molecule: unclassified non-coding RNA, 253 nt
Filed under: uncultured Pseudobdellovibrionaceae bacterium
Lineage: Bacteria; Pseudomonadati; Bdellovibrionota; Bdellovibrionia; Bdellovibrionales; Pseudobdellovibrionaceae
Description: uncultured Bdellovibrionaceae bacterium contains 16S-23S intergenic spacer region
Rfam family: Bacterial small subunit ribosomal RNA
Source: RNAcentral
UACAGAGGCCUCAAGCGUUGUUCGGAAUUACUGGGCGUAAAGCGGGUGUAGGCGGUGGCGCAAGUCAGAUGUGAGAGCCCUGGGCUCAACCUAGGAAGUGCAUUUGAUACUGCGUCACUGGAGUACGGUAGAGGAAGGUGGAAUUCCCGGUGUAGGGGUGAAAUCCGUAGAUAUCGGGAGGAAUACCAAUGACGAAAGUAGCCUUCUAGGCCGUAACUGACGCUGAGACCCGAAAGCGUGGGUAGCAAACAGG